CUCUUCGGAGAUAGUGGCAGACGGGUGAGUAACGCGUGGGGCACCUACCCUUUGGUACGGAACAACAGUUGGAAACGACUGCUAAUACCGUAUGUGCCCUACGGGGGAAAGAUUUAUCGCCAAAGGAUGGGCCCGCGUUGGAUUAGCUAGUUGGUGAGGUAAUGGCUCACCAAGGCGACGAUCCAUAGCUGGUCUGAGAGGAUGAUCAGCCACACUGGGACUGAGACACGGCCCAGACUCCUACGGGAGGCAGCAGUGGGGAAUAUUGGACAAUGGGCGCAAGCCUGAUCCAGCCAUGCCGCGUGAGUGAUGAAGGCCUUAGGGUUGUAAAGCUCUUUCAGCGAGGAGGAUAAUGACGUUACUCGCAGAAGAAGCCCCGGCUAACUUCGUGCCAGCAGCCGCGGUAAUACGAAGGGGGCUAGCGUUGUUCGGAAUCACUGGGCGUAAAGCGCACGUAGGCGGAUUGAUAAGUUAGGGGUGAAAUCCCAGGGCUCAACCCUGGAACUGCCUUUGAUACUGUCAGUCUAGAGACCGAGAGAGGUGAGUGGAACUCCGAGUGUAGAGGUGAAAUUCGUAGAUAUUCGGAAGAACACCAGUGGCGAAGGCG
RNAcentral lists this ribosomal RNA (607 nucleotides) under uncultured bacterium. Its description in RNAcentral is "bacterial SSU rRNA". It matches the Rfam family "Bacterial small subunit ribosomal RNA", at positions 82 to 723 of the family's 1533-position model. The record is from RNAcentral.